This 315-nucleotide long non-coding RNA is filed under the name Setaria viridis. RNAcentral's name for it is "long non-coding RNA (SVIR_LNC009267)". The record is from RNAcentral. Lineage: Eukaryota; Viridiplantae; Streptophyta; Magnoliopsida; Poales; Poaceae.
UUCUAUAUAAAAACUCAAGUUUUAUGUUUAACUCCAAAAAGAGCUUUUUAGGGGAAAAUGGACAUUUCACCUCUUUUACUUAGUGACUAAUGACUUGUUUAAGUUUAAUUUCACCUAACUAAGGCAGAGUUGUUACAACCACACUUGGGGUGCGUCUCCUCAUACUCCUUGAUGGCCUGGCUGGGACCUGCGCCGCCUGCGCUCACCGCCAUUCGGUGGACAUUGGUGUCGUGCUAAGCCUGGCGUCGAGUGUUGAUGACGCUGUGAGCCACGGUUUGGCCCGAGUCACUCCUGGACGUGCGGACACCGUGGAGC